This 289-nucleotide unclassified non-coding RNA is filed under the name uncultured fungus. RNAcentral describes it as "partial contains 5.8S rRNA, ITS2 and 28S rRNA". It matches the Rfam family "Eukaryotic large subunit ribosomal RNA", at positions 668 to 961 of the family's 3401-position model. Lineage: Eukaryota; Fungi. The record is from RNAcentral.
AAGGAGUCUAACAUAUCUGCGAGUAUUUGGGUGUCAAACCCGAGUGCGUAAUGAAAGUGAAAGUUGGAUCCACUCGCAAGGUGCAGCUUCGACCGAACUGGAUCUUUCGUGAUGGAUUUGGGUAAGAGCAUAUAUGUUGGGACCCGAAAGAUGGUGAACUAUGCCUGAAUAGGGUGAAGUCAGAGGAAACUCUGAUGGAGGCUCGUAGCGAUUCUGACGUGCAAAUCGAUCGUCAAAUUUGGGUAUAGGGGCGAAAGACUAAUCGAACCAUCUAGUAGCUGGUUCCUGC